UACGGAGGGUGCGAGCGUUAAUCGGAAUUACUGGGCGUAAAGGGUACGUAGGCGGUCUGAUAAGUCAGAUGUGAAAUCCCCGGGCUUAACCUGGGAACUGCAUUUGAAACUGUCAUACUAGAGUGAGUGAGAGGUUAGUGGAAUUCAAGGCGUAGCGGUGAAAUGCGUAGAGGUCUUGAGGAACAUCAGUGGCGAAGGCGACUAACUGGCACUACACUGACGCUGAGGUACGAAAGCGUGGGGAGCGAACAGG
This 253-nucleotide ribosomal RNA is filed under the name uncultured bacterium. RNAcentral's name for it is "partial 16S ribosomal RNA". It matches the Rfam family "Bacterial small subunit ribosomal RNA", at positions 524 to 776 of the family's 1533-position model. The record is from RNAcentral.